Molecule: ribosomal RNA, 253 nt
Filed under: uncultured Rhizobiaceae bacterium
Lineage: Bacteria; Pseudomonadati; Pseudomonadota; Alphaproteobacteria; Hyphomicrobiales; Rhizobiaceae
Description: partial 16S ribosomal RNA
Rfam family: Bacterial small subunit ribosomal RNA
Source: RNAcentral
UACGAAGGGGGCUAGCGUUGUUCGGAAUUACUGGGCGUAAAGCGCACGUAGGCGGAUAUUUAAGUCAGGGGUGAAAUCCCGGGGCUCAACCCCGGAACUGCCUUUGAUACUGGGUAUCUGGAGUAUGGAAGAGGUAAGUGGAAUUCCGAGUGUAGAGGUGAAAUUCGUAGAUAUUCGGAGGAACACCAGUGGCGAAGGCGGCUUACUGGUCCAUUACUGACGCUGAGGUGCGAAAGCGUGGGGAGCAAACAGG